AUACGGAGGGGGCUAGCGUUGUUCGGAAUUACUGGGCGUAAAGCGCGCGUAGGCGGAUUGUUAAGUCGGGGGUGAAAUCCCGGGGCUCAACCCCGGAACUGCCUCUGAUACUGGCAGUCCUGAGUUCGAGAGAGGUGAGUGGAAUUCCGAGUGUAGAGGUGAAAUUCGUAGAUAUUGGGAAGAACACCGGUGGCGAAGGCGGCUACCUGGACCGGUACUGACGCUAAGGUGCGAAAGCGUGGGGAGCAAACAGGAUUAGAAACCCCAGUAGUCC
RNAcentral lists this ribosomal RNA (274 nucleotides) under uncultured bacterium. RNAcentral describes it as "partial 16S ribosomal RNA". It matches the Rfam family "Bacterial small subunit ribosomal RNA", at positions 523 to 796 of the family's 1533-position model. The record is from RNAcentral.